RNAcentral lists this ribosomal RNA (551 nucleotides) under Smilisca manisorum. Its description in RNAcentral is "partial large subunit ribosomal RNA". It matches the Rfam family "Bacterial large subunit ribosomal RNA", at positions 1859 to 2607 of the family's 2925-position model. The record is from RNAcentral. Lineage: Eukaryota; Metazoa; Chordata; Amphibia; Anura; Hylidae.
CUGCCCAGUGACUCUGUUCAACGGCCGCGGUAUCCUAACCGUGCGAAGGUAGCGUAAUCACUUGUUCUUUAAAUGAGGACUAGUAUGAAUGGCAUCACGAAGGUUAUACUGUCUCCUUUUUCCAAUCAGUGAAACUAAUCUCCCCGUGAAGAAGCGGGGAUAAUAAUAUAAGACGAGAAGACCCUAUGGAGCUUUAAACUAAAUAGCACCUGCUCUUUAUGUAUGCUCUUCUUCAGAGAAAUUAACAUUUACUUUAGCUUGUUGACUAUUAGUUUUGGGUUGGGGUGACCGCGGAGCACAAAACAACCUCCACGUUGAAUGGGGCUACCCCCUGAGCAAAGAGCUACAACUCUACGCACCAACAAAUUGACAUCAAUUGACCCAAUAUAUUGAUCAACGAACCAAGUUACCCUAGGGAUAACAGCGCAAUCCGUUUCAAGAGCUCCUAUCGACAAACGGGUUUACGACCUCGAUGUUGGAUCAGGGUAUCCCAGUGGUGCAGCCGCUACUAAAGGUUCGUUUGUUCAACGAUUAAAACCCUACGUGAUCUG